GCAUUGGUAGUUUAGUGGUAGGACUCUCCCCUUUCAUGUGGGAGACCCCGGUUCAAUUCCCGGCCAGGGCA
Molecule: transfer RNA, 71 nt
Filed under: Loxodonta africana (African savanna elephant)
Lineage: Eukaryota; Metazoa; Chordata; Mammalia; Proboscidea; Elephantidae
Rfam family: tRNA
About the family: Transfer RNA (tRNA) molecules are approximately 80 nucleotides in length. Their secondary structure includes four short double-helical elements and three loops (D, anti-codon, and T loops).
Source: Rfam by way of RNAcentral